This is a long non-coding RNA of Zeugodacus cucurbitae (melon fly), 3289 nucleotides long. RefSeq lists it as uncharacterized. NCBI's taxonomy places the organism in Eukaryota, Metazoa, Arthropoda, Insecta, Diptera, Tephritidae. The transcript has 2 exons. The record is from RefSeq and is a predicted model, not a curated record.
GGGGUUUGGAGGUUCUAUAUGUCUAACCUCUAUAACUUUAAGACUCCAUUGUUAGCGGAGCCAUUUUCGUUCGAUGAAACUAAAUUUUUCGGAACAAAUUCAAAUUGGAAAUCAAGUUUUUCAGAGCUCUUUCUUAGUCUAAAGUUGGAUGCUGAAUUAACGGAGCGGUCCGAGGCCAGCCAGCUAGUGGAAGAAAUAGAUUCGACAAGCAAACUACAUAUAUUCAUCGUCCCUUAAAUCAAAAGCUGUUUUAGAAGGAAGGUCGUGAGAAUGUCUGUCACCUCACCGAGAAGGUGAAUCUCCUUGCCCUGUGACGGCCCCUCCGAUGUUACUUAAAACAAAAUUUCUGAAAUACAGAAACUUGUUGGUGGAUAUACUAUUCAUACAACCCCACAGUCUCUACCAACUACCGUUAGCUGAACUCAAUUGUAAUGCCCUGUGCCACAAUUUUCGUGCGGGUAAGAGACCUAACAAACGAGACAAUUUUAAUAAUUAAAAACUAUCUGGUAACUUUCACCGUACAUUUGUAUGCAAUAGUAUAAAGAGAAACCACUAUACUACUCGUACAAAUGUACUCAACUGUCGGUGCUGCCAGAUUGCGCAGCCGACGAAUCGUAGAUUUUUUGUUACUAAAUAAAUAUAAAUACAUUAGCGCAUACGAAUAUACCCAUACAGAAAGCCAACAAUGGAACGAGCGUAGAAAAAAUUCACAACUGACAGGCUGGCGAAACGGCAACACAGCAAAAGCUUUUCAGGUCCAUACUGCGAGUAAGUGAAUGCCUCGCGUGGCCUCGCUUCGUCGUUGUGCCCUUUAAUGCUCGCACCAACUGACUGACUGUACGCGCCCCAGCCCAGCGCAGUGGCCAGACUAUGAGCGCAAUGCUCGCGACCGAGUUGUGCCACCAGCACGCGAACUGACGGACGUACGUAUAGACGGGCGCACUGACUGACGGACAAGUUGUUCGACGAUUUGCUGUUUUUCUCUUAUAUAUUCAUUAUUUGCUCGGUUCGUUGUUGCGACACUGCAGUUCGGUCGCGCGCAUUUCAAGCGACGACCGUAAUAGCAACGACAACGGCGGCUAUGGCUUUACUGCAAUGCGAAGCAGCCAGUCAGGCAGCCAGCCAGCCGGGGCAGGCAGAGCCAAAUAACCCAACCGAAUGGGCUCGGGUCGUUCAUCGUCGUCGUGGUGUCGGUUGUUUGCGUUUUGCACCAAUGCAGCGUUAUUCGCUUAUCGUUCGAGUGGCGGCCACAGCUUAAUCUCACGAUUGCAACGACUAUGCAAUUGUAAACUUUUGCCCAGCACACACAACCAAACACACAUUCAUAGGCGCGCAUAUGCAUGUAUUCAACUUGUUGUUGGUAUUUUACAUUUGGCAUUUCUCUCAUCAACCAUGCAACCAUGCAGCCAAGCAUUCGCGUUCAUUUUUUCCUAUGCACAAUGACAGCAAAUAGCAAAUGCACCAACAGCAAUGCAACUUGCUCGGCUGGCUGGCUGCACAUUACUAGCAAAAGCAAAGUGGCAGUAAAAAUCCAUCAAGGACAUUGCUGUUUGGUUUGCGAGAAUUGCAGCGCAGCAGCGGCGAUAUAAAGAAUUCGACUCAACGCGGUCGCGGCGUUCGAGCCAAUAGUGGGUUGUUCGCAAACCGCCAUCAUCGGUAGCAUAUUCGUGGUGAUUUCCAUGCCAUCUGGCAACGUUGCGGCGUACAGAUGAAAUUACCGCUAACUUUGAAUCGCAACAGCAGUAACGAACUAUUUCUAAAUUUCAUCAUGCCACCAAUACAGGCGCACCCACACACAACACACUCCAACAAACACAUAUUAACCGCACAGCCACCACACACCCACAGGUAAUCGGCUUGAAGGACACAGAAUUUUUUGACAAUUGCAUUGAACUGUCAAUGCGGGAUCAGUGCUGCCACAUAAAGUAAAACUCAAAAGUGGAAAUUUCGUUUUUAAAAAUCUAUGAAUUUGUGAGUACAUAUGCACGCGAUUACCAAAGUGCGCUGUAAAAUGAACAAAUACGCCGUAACGAAGCAGGCAAAUUUACGUUGUGUAGAACUGACGGCAACGGCAAACAACCCCACAAAAUACAUACAAGUAUACAUAUUGAUACAUAAAGCGUAUUAUGUGGCAGUGUGUGGGUAUGUGUACAAAAUAUCGGUUUAUAUAUAUUCACUCGUACUGCUAACACUGCUGACUUGGGUUACGAGUUUUCCUUUUCGCUUGUACGAGAAUAUUUCGUCGGUCGCUUUGCAGCAGUGAAACAACCACCAACAAAAAACGAUUUCACAAAACGAACGAACUGCCGACGAAUGGUGUUCGUGCCGAAACGCAACAAAACAUACACACAUUCAAACCGGACCCAGCACCAUCCAUGCACUCACCACCGCCGACCAAGUCACUUACACACGAAUGCACACCGAGAUACAUAUGUAUAUGUACGUACGCACACUUAUGCAUUUUAAUUUAGUUAUUUACGUCGUUGCUGUGCUCGUAUGAAAUACGUUUUCCUCAUGUUUGACUUUAUUCUAGUUACCAACCUUGUCGUAGCAGCAAAAGCAAAGCUAAGUAUUCACAAUUUACUUAAUAUAUGGUUGCGCACAAUCUGGCAACGCUCGUUGUUGGAAAUUUCAAAUAACGGUAAAUGUACGUUGCAUACAUCUGGCAACCCUGCACACUCAUAACUUAAUGCCGCUCGACCACUCUGCCGCAACUUCUGUUGUUUUACUUCGUUAAUAUACUUAUGCUUGGUGUAUUCUUACUUUCCUGCCACAUUUGACCACUCAACGGAAUUGGUAAUGUAGCACAAGGCAGUAAGCGGCAAAAAAGACUUCGCUCAGCGUUGCCAUUCGUCGACUGCCAUUCGCCGUUGUAACACACUCGGUUUAGCCUUCACAGACUUGAUACGAUGAAAGGGUCGUUCCACAAGGCGUCAGGAUGUGUACAGUGGUGCGAGCGCACAAAAUGCGAACAAAAUAGACGCUUAAAUGCAGCCAACAGAUCGACCGACCGAGGUAAAAAGUUGUGCGAAUAACCAGCCCACUGUUCAGGAGCAUGAAUGCUAGUCCUUAUAUUCAUAAGCGCAUAGAGGUGGUGCAUAAAUAGCAGUGUAUACCCAGCUACCCAAACCUCAGAUGUUCUCGUAAAUACUUUGUCCCAGAUUCAAUCGAUUUAAUAUUAAAUGUGUUAUAUGUUCUAGCGCAUAAAUUGAUUGGUGGCUUGUAUGGCUGACCGGGGUCAAAGUGACAGAAUGAGUUUAAACAAAAUGUAUUUAACAUUUUUUGAAAA